GCAGAAGAGAUCAUCCCUAG
RNAcentral lists this small nuclear RNA (20 nucleotides) under Arabidopsis thaliana (thale cress). RNAcentral's name for it is "snRNA_16916". Lineage: Eukaryota; Viridiplantae; Streptophyta; Magnoliopsida; Brassicales; Brassicaceae. The record is from RNAcentral.